RNAcentral lists this transfer RNA (77 nucleotides) under Candidatus Pacebacteria bacterium CG_4_10_14_0_8_um_filter_43_12. Its description in RNAcentral is "tRNA-Ala". It matches the Rfam family "tRNA". Rfam says of the family: Transfer RNA (tRNA) molecules are approximately 80 nucleotides in length. Their secondary structure includes four short double-helical elements and three loops (D, anti-codon, and T loops). RNAcentral also lists the same sequence under 1 other name. Lineage: Bacteria; Bacillati; Minisyncoccota. The record is from RNAcentral.
GGGCCUGUAGCUCAGUUGGCUAGAGCGCCUCAUUUGCAAUGAGGAGGUCAGGAGUUCGAGUCUCCUCAGGUCCACCG